GCAUUAAAUGGUACUCCCUCUGUAAACUAAUAUAAGAGCGUUUAGAUCACUAUUUUAGUAUUCUAAACACUCUUAUAUUAGUUUACGGAGGGAGUACUAUAUGUUUUUGGCUUGCUUUUGUUCACUUUUGUCCUGUCCAAAGUGGAAUAAGAAAAUAAAGUCAAAACAGGCUCAACCAUGACUACUUUGCUCUUGUGAUCACCAAUUUCUGCUCCAUUGCGCACAAGAAAGUAGUGACUAUUUAUUUGCUUAAACAAUAUGUCCAGCGCUGCCUGUCCUGCUAAUAUUCCUUUAUGGAUGUAUCGCACAAAUUUCAGUUAUUGGAUAUGAAAUGUAGGUUCUCUACUCAGAGCUUGGUCCAAUGGUCAAUGCAGCUCUAUGUUGUGCUAUCUUGCUAUUGGGCUCUUUUUUCGUUACUUAAAAUGGUCAGAUAUCUCUGAUGUUAAAUUCGUGGUUGAUUGCUUAUAUCCAAAAUAACUAUGUUAGUACACUAAAGCCAAUUUCUACAUUGUUAGUGAAGUUGGCUAAAUUUAGUCCAACAUUUCCAGUAUGUAUCUUCUUCUGCUAUCAGUGUUAAUUCUGCCAUAAGCAUAUUACUCUCCUAGCAUUUUUUUUCGAUGAAAAACACAGACACUUGUUCAGUUUUUUACUACAUAGAAAAAGAUAAGUUCAAUUUGGUUUCUAAUGUUCAUGUCGGCCUUUGCCUAAGCAAAAAAAGGUAACCAGUCUAUAUUGCAAUAUGGUUUUUAGUUUCUCUUUGAUUCAACCUUUUUUUGUGUGCUGUCUAACUGUUAGAUUGUCUGGAACAUCUUGGAACAACCUUCCGUGUCCCCGAUAUUAUCUCGUUUCCUGAACAAUAUUAUUUUAUUUGCUUUAUCUGCCACCAUGAAUUCCUAGAGUUCCUUUCUCUCCUUCCAAUUGACUUUCUUAGAUGUGAUUCUAUUAGAAAUUUUGUGCCAUGACAGAAGUAAUGGUUGAUUGCUCUGGUUUAGCCUUUAUGUCAGUUGUUGCUGAGGGUCCAGUUUCUCAUUUUUCAGAAUUUGUAGUAGUAGGGAUGUGUAUAAUAUGGAUAACUGAACUGGUGUUUAGGGGUUUCAGUGCAGGACUGCUACUUGCUCGAUUAGUUAGAUCAACUGGUGUUUGGAGAUUUCAGUGCGAGUGAUGUUCCAGUUUCGAUUGCAGGGCUUCGAGAUGCACCAUGAGGAUCUGACUGUUAGACUUGCGAAGCUAGCAACCUAUGAUCAAAUUAAGGCUGCAAUCAAGGAAGAGUCUGAGGGAAACGUCAAGGGCAUUUUGGGUUACGUUGAUGAGGACCUUGUUUCCACUGACUUCCAGGGUGACAACAGGUCCAGCAUCUUUGAUGCCAAGGCCGAGAUUGCCCUGAACAACAACUUUGUCAAGCUUGUCUCCUGGUACGACAACGAGUGGGGAUACAGCACCCGCGUUGUCGACCUCAUCCGUCACAUGCACAGCACCAAGUAAAUGAGAGGCAUGAAGAUAUAGGGGAGAGUGGUUUGCCCCAGAGGAGUGUUCAAAGCCUCUUCUUCUGAGAAUCAAUUUUUUUUGUGGAACAUGCUUCAUUUUUGCAGGUAAAAGAAGGAAGAGAACAUUGGAGAAAAAGGCAGCAGGACGGAUUCUCUAAGCUUUCUCAAAUGUUUGAACAAUUAGAAGAUAGUUACAAUCAUUUUUCUCUUGCCUUAUUACAUCUUGAUGUUAAUAGGCUUUGGAAGGUACUAUGCGCCCCGUUCAAGGUUUACAGAAUUUGCACCAUCCUAUUACAGUUUGUUCUGAUGACAUAAUUGACCAGUUCUUCCUUGAGUAAAUUAAUAUUGUGGCUGCUA
RNA transcript from Triticum aestivum (bread wheat), 1841 nucleotides. It is a transcript of the gene named glyceraldehyde-3-phosphate dehydrogenase 2, cytosolic, with no coding region annotated. The transcript has 5 exons. Lineage: Eukaryota; Viridiplantae; Streptophyta; Magnoliopsida; Poales; Poaceae. The record is from RefSeq and is a predicted model, not a curated record.